CAGUAGCCGCGGUAAUACAGAGGGUGCAAGCGUUAAUCGGAUUUACUGGGCGUAAAGGGCGCGUAGGUGGUUAUGUAAGUGAGAUGUGAAAUCCCCGGGCUCAACCUGGGAACUGCAUCUUAUACUGCGUAGCUGGAGUGCAGUAGAGGGUAGUGGAAUUUCCGGUGUAGCGGUGAAAUGCGUAGAUAUCGGAAGGAACACCAGUGGCGAAGGCGGCUACCUGGACUGACACUGACACUGAGGCGCGAGAGCGUGGGGAGCAAACAGGAUUAGAUACCCGCGUAGUCCCUGUCUCUUAUAC
This 301-nucleotide ribosomal RNA is filed under the name uncultured bacterium. RNAcentral describes it as "partial 16S ribosomal RNA". It matches the Rfam family "Bacterial small subunit ribosomal RNA", at positions 509 to 807 of the family's 1533-position model. The record is from RNAcentral.